GCUGGGUGUGGAAGCGCAGUAAUGCGUUAAGCUAACCAGUACUAAUUGCCCGUAAGGCUUGUCCC
Molecule: ribosomal RNA, 65 nt
Filed under: Pseudoduganella namucuonensis
Lineage: Bacteria; Pseudomonadati; Pseudomonadota; Betaproteobacteria; Burkholderiales; Oxalobacteraceae
Description: Massilia namucuonensis 23S rRNA. Bacterial LSU
Source: RNAcentral